This 23-nucleotide non-coding RNA is filed under the name Arabidopsis thaliana (thale cress). Lineage: Eukaryota; Viridiplantae; Streptophyta; Magnoliopsida; Brassicales; Brassicaceae. The record is from RNAcentral.
AAGACCCGAGUUUAUUGCAAACA